This is a long non-coding RNA of Passer montanus (Eurasian tree sparrow), 511 nucleotides long. RefSeq lists it as uncharacterized. NCBI's taxonomy places the organism in Eukaryota, Metazoa, Chordata, Aves, Passeriformes, Passeridae. The transcript is spliced from 3 exons. The record is from RefSeq and is a predicted model, not a curated record.
CAGAGUUCCAUUUUGUGAGGUGCCUUUGCCAGCAGAGCACACUCCUCCUACCCCAGGGUACAGUUUCCAUGUAAGAGAAAAGGCAAAGUUUCUGUACAGCAAAGGAAAGCAGUUGUCACAAACAUCUCCAGGACUGUGGCAAGGACAGAGCACAAGGAUGAGGAAUGGUUCUGUGUGCUUGGAAACCUGGAUGUUUCUGCUGUGGAGCUGACCAUAGAUCAGCAUUCAGACCACUGGAAAAUCUGGACCAACAUGAUGUUGCAACCAGGGCACAGGCUGCCAGGAAGCAAACCUCCAGACAAAGCCCUUCAUUUGUAGCAGUCCUUUCCUUCCUCCACCUGUUUUGUGCCCUUUUAUUGCUUUGUUCCAUACAUAAACUUGUGCUUUUACACUCUUUGAAGUGUCCUGCAUGGUGUGGAGGUGGCAGCUCUGAAUGCUGAUGAAUCUCUGGAAGCCUCAGCAGUGUUUUGUUGGUUUGGGGGUCUUUGGGAGAGCUCACCCCCUUCUCCAC